GUAAAAGGGGAGAAAUAUGAAAAAAUAUGUAAAAGAAAUCAAUGGAAAUAAAUAAAAAGAUAAACUCUUAAAAACACACACAAAUUUGUUCUAAGUGGAUUCGGUACCUCGAGGCUCAUUAUCUCUCUUUUGGGGCUUCUAAUGGAGUAAUCUCCAGAAUCUAUUCAAGGGAUAUUCGGAGAUUAGCUGAAUCCUACUCAAGAACAAAUUGACAGAUUUUCCCUCUAAAAACAAAAAAUUCAGUUCAAAAACUUCAAAGCAUUAAAAGGAAAUUCAGAGAAUCAAAACAUAGUUGAAUGCAUAUGUUGAGGGGGAGAAUCUAAAUUUUAAUCAAACUAAAUCAUUAAUGACAUAUAAGCCACACAAUUGAUUGCAUAAUAUGAAGGCUUAUAUAAUUCCAAAUGAAAGGGGGAGCUUUAACUCCGAAAUUUAAUGUUUCACUCCUUUCAAACUUGGAUAAAUUAAAUUAUCAGACAUUUGAAUUCAUUUAUGGAUUUUAUUU
Molecule: long non-coding RNA, 502 nt
Filed under: Phoenix dactylifera (date palm)
Lineage: Eukaryota; Viridiplantae; Streptophyta; Magnoliopsida; Arecales; Arecaceae
Description: long non-coding RNA (PDAC_LNC023070)
Source: RNAcentral